UUGGCUGAAAUGUCCACCAGGUAGCGCGAGUGUUUCCAGGAACGCAUAGCGGCCAUUUUGUUCCAAGACGCAGCAGAAAUUGGUUGUCGGUUGUGACGUUUUUUCACGAUGAAAAUUAAAAGGUGAUUUAGCACGUUUAACCAAUUUGCCAAAUCAUUCAACCCAGACUUGGAAGUGCCUGUACAUUGCCGAAAUGGCGUGCCUCGUGUGUCUCGCUGCCUGUUCUUAGGCGUACGUCUCAUCCCAUGCAACAGCAAAAAGUAUAACAACAACACUUCUGUAACACUGUUGGUUACCUUGUUGCAGCCAAAUGGUGAAAGGUGUGGCGAAGACAGAAUGAUCCAUUGCAUGCAGCAUGGGGUUGCAGUGUAAUCCAGAAGUUGCUGUGCUGUUGUAGCUGAGCUGUUCCAUCUCGGUUUCUGACUUAAAAAUUUUUGUGUUGUCGUUUUUGUUUUUGACUUGAAAGUUGAAAGUGUUUGAUGUGU
Long non-coding RNA from Daphnia pulex (common water flea), 485 nucleotides. RefSeq lists it as uncharacterized. The record is from RefSeq and is a predicted model, not a curated record. Lineage: Eukaryota; Metazoa; Arthropoda; Branchiopoda; Diplostraca; Daphniidae. The transcript is spliced from 3 exons.